GAUGAACGCUGGCGGCGUGCCUAAUACAUGCAAGUCGAGCGAACGGACGAGAAGCUUGCUUCUCUGAUGUUAGCGGCGGACGGGUGAGUAACACGUGGAUAACCUACCUAUAAGACUGGGAUAACUUCGGGAAACCGGAGCUAAUACCGGAUAAUAUUUUGAACCGCAUGGUUCAAAAGUGAAAGACGGUCUUGCUGUCACUUAUAGAUGGAUCCGCGCUGCAUUAGCUAGUUGGUAAGGUAACGGCUUACCAAGGCAACGAUGCAUAGCCGAGCUGAGAGGGUGAUCGGCCACACUGGAACUGAGACACGGUCCAGACUCCUACGGGAGGCAGCAGUAGGGAAUCUUCCGCAAAGGGCGAAAGCCUGACGGAGCAACGCCGCGUGAGUGAUGAAGGUCUUCGGAUCGUAAAACUCUGUUAUUAGGGAAGAACAUAUGUGUAAGUAACUGUGCACAUCUUGACGGUACCUAAUCAGAAAGCCACGGCUAACUACGUG
Molecule: ribosomal RNA, 497 nt
Filed under: uncultured bacterium
Lineage: Bacteria
Description: partial 16S ribosomal RNA
Rfam family: Bacterial small subunit ribosomal RNA
Source: RNAcentral